This 756-nucleotide ribosomal RNA is filed under the name uncultured bacterium. RNAcentral describes it as "bacterial SSU rRNA". It matches the Rfam family "Bacterial small subunit ribosomal RNA", at positions 8 to 796 of the family's 1533-position model. The record is from RNAcentral.
AGAGUUUGAUCCUGGCUCAGAAUCAACGCUGGCGGNNNNCCUAACACAUGCAAGUCGAACGAGAAAGUGGAGCAAUCCAUGAGUAAAGUGGCGUACGGGUGAGUAACACGUGGAUCAUCUACCCUCUAGUGGGGAAUACCGCUGGGAAACCGGCGACAAUACCGCAUAAGCUCGAGAGAGGAAAGCAGCAAUGCGCUGGAGGAGGAGUCCGCGGUCGAUUAGUUAGUUGGCGGGGUAAAGGCCCACCAAGACUGUGAUCGAUAGCCGGCCUGAGAGGGCACACGGCCACACUGGCACUGAAACACGGGCCAGACUCCUACGGGAGGCAGCAGUGGGGAAUCUUGCACAAUGGGGGAAACCCUGAUGCAGCGACGCCGCGUGAGCGAUGAAGCCCCUCGGGGUGUAAAGCUCUUUCGGCAGGGAAGAUUAUGACGGUACCUGCAAAAGCAGCUGCGGCUAACUACGUGCCAGCAGCCGCGGUAAUACGUAGGCAGCAAGCGUUGUUCGGAGUUACUGGGCGUAAAGGGUGCGUAGGCGGCUUUUUAAGUUUGGUGUGAAAUCUCCCGGCUCAACUGGGAGGGUGCGCCGAAUACUGAGAGGCUAGAGUGUGGGAGAGGAAAGUGGAAUUCCUGGUGUAGCGGUGAAAUGCGUAGAUAUCAGGAGGNNNNCCGGUGGUGUAAACGGCUUUCUGGACCAUAACUGACGCUGAGGCACGAAAGCGUGGGUAGCAAACAGGAUUAGAUACCCUAGUAGUCC